AGCAGCCGCGGUAAUUCCAGCUCCAAUAGCGUAUAUUAAAGUUGUUGCAGUUAAAAAGCUCGUAGUUGAAUUUCGAGAUCGGCUUACUGGUCGUGCUUUUGUACGUACUGGUAUAAUCGGUUUCUCCUUUCUGACGAACUAUAAUGCCAUUAAUUUGGUGUUAUAGGGAAUCAGGACUGUUACUUUGAAAAAAUUAGAGUGUUUAAAGCAGGCUCACGCUUGAAUACAUUAGCAUGGAAUAACGGAAUAGGACGUUUGAUUCUAUUUUGUUGGUUUCUAGGAUCGACGUAAUGAUUAAUAGGGAUAGUUGGGGGCAUUAGUAUUCAAUUGUCAGAGGUGAAAUUCUUGGAUUUAUUGAAGACUAACUACUGCGAAAGCAUUUGCCAAGGAUGUUUUCAUUAAUCAAGAACGAAAGUUAGGGGAUCGAAGACGAUCAGAUACCGUCGUAGUCUUAACCAUAAACUAUGCCGACUAGGGAUCGGAUGAUGUUAAUUUUUUAAUGACUCA
Molecule: ribosomal RNA, 507 nt
Filed under: uncultured Glomus
Lineage: Eukaryota; Fungi; Glomeromycota; Glomeromycetes; Glomerales; Glomeraceae
Description: SSU rRNA
Rfam family: Eukaryotic small subunit ribosomal RNA
Source: RNAcentral